This 93-nucleotide microRNA precursor is filed under the name Dasypus novemcinctus (nine-banded armadillo). RNAcentral's name for it is "miRNA (ENSDNOG00000043950.1)". Lineage: Eukaryota; Metazoa; Chordata; Mammalia; Cingulata; Dasypodidae. The record is from RNAcentral.
AGGAUGACAGGAGAGAAAACUAUCAGAUAGUUUGUUCAUAAUUCUCUCUCAUACAGCAGUUAGUCUCCAUGUCUUCGAUCUGUCAUCCUGCAG